RNAcentral lists this small RNA (656 nucleotides) under Pongo abelii (Sumatran orangutan). Its description in RNAcentral is "processed transcript". The record is from RNAcentral. Lineage: Eukaryota; Metazoa; Chordata; Mammalia; Primates; Hominidae.
GGGUUCCCAGAAGGAGACCGCUAAGCUGCGAUGCUGCGUCGCAGGCGGCAAGCAAUUAUCCCAGCUGUUGGAACUGCGGCGGCCCAUGGGGCCCCGGGCGGGAGGACAGGUUCUUCUGCCCACAGUGCCGAGCGCUGCAGGCACCUGACCCCACUCGAGACUACUUCAGCCUUAUGGACUGCAACCGUUCCUUCAGAGUUGAUACUGUGAAGCUCCAGCACAGGUACCAGCAACUGCAGCGUCUUGUCCAUCCAGAUUUCUUCAGCCAGAGGUCUCAGACUGAAAAGGACUUCUCAGAGAAGCAUUCGACCCUGGUGAAUGAUGCCUAUAAGACCCUCCUGGCUCCACUGAGCAGAGGACUGUACCUUACUAUCUUAAGAGGCCAGGCAUGGUGGCUCGCGCCUGUAAUCCCAGCACUUUGGGAGGCGAAGGCGGGUGGAUCACAACAUCAGGAGUUCAAGACCAGCCUGGUCAAGAUGGUGAAACCCCGCCUCUACCAAAAAUACAAAAAAAUUAGCCGGGCGUGGUGGCGGGUGCCUGUAAUCCCAGCUACUCGGGAGGCUGAGGCAGAGAAUUGCUUCCCCAGGAGGCAGAGGUUGCAGUGAGCUGAGAUCACGCCAUUGCACUCUAGCCUGGGCAACAGAGCGAGACUUCGU